RNAcentral lists this ribosomal RNA (1586 nucleotides) under Limnonectes bannaensis (large-headed frog). RNAcentral describes it as "16S ribosomal RNA". It matches the Rfam family "Bacterial large subunit ribosomal RNA", at positions 436 to 2830 of the family's 2925-position model. Lineage: Eukaryota; Metazoa; Chordata; Amphibia; Anura; Dicroglossidae. The record is from RNAcentral.
GCCUAAAAUUAAGCCUAACCCACCCUUAUGAAAACCACUUCCAACUGAGCAAUAAUAAAACAUUUUAUCAGUUUAGUAAAGGCGAUUAAAAAACUUUCUAGCGCUUUACUUCUAGUACCGCAAGGGAAAAAAUGAAAUAGUUUUGAAACAGCCAUUAAGCAACCUAUAGCAGAGACUACCCCUCGUACCUUUUGCAUCAUGGUUUAGCUAGUCUUUUUCAAGCAAAGCGAAACAUCAGUUUGACCCCCCGAAACUAAGCGAGCUACUUCAAAACAGCUCAAUGGAGCCAACCCGUCUCUGUCGCAAAAGAGUGGGACGAUUUUUAAGUAGAGGUGAAAAGCCUACCGAGCUUAGAGAUAGCUGGUUAUUCAAGAAAAGAAUUUUAGUUCUACCUUAAGUUUCUGUAUUAACCUCAUAAACCACUUAGACUUAAGAGCUAUUCAAAUGAGGCACAGCUUAUUUGAAAAAGGAUACAACCUAUAAAAAAGGGUAAACCCCCCCCCCAAAAAAAAUAAGUGGGCCUAAAAGCAGCCACCUUUGAGAAAGCGUUAAAGCUCCUUUUUCCAAGAAUAUAAUACCCAAACAUACCUUCAACCCUUUAUUCCUACUGAAUGAUUCUAUACUCACUAUAGAAGCCCCAAUGCUAAAACUAGUAACAAGAAAUUGACCUUCUCCUAAAUAUAAGCAUAAACCAAAAUGGACAAACCAUUGGUUAUUAACGUCAAUUAAAUCAAUAUAGUAACCAUAUCAAGAAAACACUAUUAGUUAUUACGUUAACCUCACACAAGCGUAUUUCCGGAAAGAUUUAAAGAGGGGGAAGGAACUCGGCAAAUAAUAACCUCGCCUGUUUACCAAAAACAUCGCCUCUUGAUAAAAUAUAAGAGGUCCAGCCUGCCCAGUGAUAUAAUUAAACGGCCGCGGUACCCUGACCGUGCAAAGGUAGCAUAAUCACUUGUUCUCUAAAUAGGGACUCGUAUCAACGGCAUCACGAGGGUUAUACUGUCUCCCCCCUCUAAUCAGUGAAACUGACCUCCCCGUGAAGAGGCGGGGAUAUUAAUACAAGACGAGAAGACCCCAUGGAGCUUUAAACCCAAUAACAACCUUCACCAAAGUACCUUAAAAAUGAAGAGGCACUGUUUAUUGGUUUUAGGUUGGGGUGACCACGGAGAAAAACUAAACCUCCAUGACGAAUGGACCUUAAACCUAAUCUAAGAGCCACUACUCCAAGAAUCAUUAAUUUGACAUAAUUUGAUCCGGCAACCGAUCAACGAACCAAGUUUACCCUGGGGAUAACAGCGCAAUCCAUUUCAAGAGCCCCCUAUCGACAAAUGGGUUUACGACCUCGAUGUUGGAUCAGGGUAUCCCAGUGGGUGCAGCCGCUACUAAAGGUUUGUUUGUUCAACAAUUAAAACCCUACGUGAUCUGAGUUCAGACCGGAGUAAUCCAGGUCGGUUUCUAUCUGUAAAGUGUUACUUCUAGUACGAAAGGACUGAAAUAACGUGGCCAAUAUCCCCCCAAGCCACAACCCCUAACUAAUGAACUCAACUCAAUUAGUAAGCCCUAUUAAUAUGUCUUAGCCUAAGACA